This 3035-nucleotide ribosomal RNA is filed under the name activated sludge metagenome. Its description in RNAcentral is "bacterial LSU rRNA". It matches the Rfam family "Bacterial large subunit ribosomal RNA", at positions 1 to 2121 of the family's 2925-position model. The record is from RNAcentral.
ACUCAUGUGCAUGGUGAAUGCCUUGGGUCUUGAUGCCGAAGAAGGACGCACUAGGCUGCGAAAAGCCUCGAGGAGUUGCCAAGAAACGCUAUAACUCGGGGAUUUCCGAAUGGGACAACCCUUCUGUCAUAAGACAGAAAUCCUUUACUGAAAAUUUACCUUUAGGGUAGAUCAUAGGUAAUGAGAAGGUAACCCGGCGAACUGACACAUCUUAGUAGCCGGAGGAAAAGAAACUAAGAUACACCUAAUUUAUUAGGUAAAGUAUUUCCUAAGUAGCGGCGAGCGAACGGGAAACAGCCCAAACUCAAGUUCAGAUCUAUUUAUUUAGAUCCGUUAAGACUUUGAUUUAUCAAAAUCCUAGCGACUUGGGGGUAUGGAAACUCUAUGUCUUAAGAUAGAGAAGUUACAAAGUUUUUUUGUAGGAGAAGCUUUCUGGAAAGCGGCGCCAUAGCGGGUAAUAGCCCCGUAUCCGAAACAAAAAAACCUUCUUGAGUUUUCCUGAGUAACACGAGUCACGUGUAACCUUGUGUGAAGAUAGCAGGACCAUCUGCUAAGGCUAAAUACAUCAAGACACCGAUAGUGGACAAGUACCGUGAGGGAAAGGUGAAAAGAACCCCUUGUAGGGGAGUGAAAUAGAACCUGAAACCGUGCACAGACAAGCUGAUAAAGCCCCGUCGUAUUUAUACGAUUGAGGGUGAUAUUGUGCCUAUUGAAAAAUGAGCCAACGAGUUAAUAGGAUGCGCAAGCUUAAGCAAUUAAGUUGUGGAGGCGUAGGGAAACCGAGUCUUAACCGGCGCAUAUCCAUAUUUAUAUGGAUUAGUGCAUUCUAUUAGACCCGAAGCCUGGUGAGCUAACCAUGGGCAGGGUGAACUUGUCGUAAUUGACAAGGGAGGCCCGAACCGGUGUAUGUGAAAAAUGCUCGGAUGACCUGUGGUUAGGGCCGAAACGGUAAUCGAACCAGGUGAUAGCUGGCUCUCCCCGAAAUAUAUGUAGGUAUAGCCUCGAUCUUAUAUGGUUUGUGAGGUAGAGAAACUGAAAAGAACUUGGGCGCUUGCGUACCAGUUUUUACCAAACUCCGAAUGCGCAAACCUUUGAUCGGGAGUCAGUUCUAGGGAGCAAGUUCCUAGCGCAAAAGGGAAACAUCCCGGACCAUCAGCUAAGGUCCCUAAUCUUUGCUUAGUGAGAAAGAAAGUGAAACUGUUUAGACAGCUAGGAGGUUGGCUUAGAAGCAGCAAUCCUUUAAAGAAAGCGUAACAGCUCACUAGUUAAACGGUCUCGCGUCGAAAAUGUAACGGGACUCAAGCAAAGAACCGACGCUAUGGUUUUGUCAUAAUUUAUUAUGGCAGAAGGUAGGGGAGCAUUGAUGUCAUUCAAACUAAUAUUUUUGCUUGCAAAAACAAGUUUGAAUCUAGGCUGUGAAGGUAGACUCGCGAGAGCUACUGGAGCGUCAUCAAGAGAGAAUGUUGGCAUGAGUAACGAGAAGGAGGUGAGAACCCUCCUCGCCGAAAGUCUAAGGGUUCCUCCGCUAUGUCAGUCAUCGGAGGGUUAGUCGACCCUAAGGCGAGGCCGAAAGGCGUAGCCGAUGGAUAGCAGGUUAAUAUUCCUGCACUACUAUAAAACCGUUUUACCAAUGGAGGGACGGAGUUUGAUAAGCUGGGUCCAUUAAGGAUUUGGGUUCCAAGAGCAAGUUAGGAAGCGAUAGGAAAAUCCGCGCUUCCGUUUAAGGCAAGCUUGAGGGAGAGGUCCAUCUUCGGAUGGAGUAUUCAGCUGAGUUAAGCUUCCAAGAAAAGCUUCUAGGGAGGUUUUAUAGUAUUCGUACCGCAAACCGACACAGGUAGAUGGGUAGAGGAUACCAAGGCGAACGAGAGAACCGUGGUUGAGGAACUAGGCAAAUUACAUCCGUAACUUAGGGAAAAGGAUGCCCUAUCGCAAGAUAGGGGGCACAAAAAUGGCUCAAGCGACUGUUUAUUAAAAACACAGGUCCCUGCUUAACUCGUAAGAGGACGUAUAGGGGCCGACACCUGCCCAGUGCCCGUAAGUUAAAACUGGAGGUGAUUCCUUUACUUGUAAAGGAUGAGCUUUUGGUCCAAGCUCGGGUGAACGGCAGCAGUAACUAUAACUGUUCUAAGGUAAACAACGCGCUGCUUUAGUAAAAUUUGGCUAUAUGCUGGGAUAUCUGGAGUAUCUGAUACUAGGCAUUUGAUUGUAAUAAUUAACUUUAUUAUAAUUAGCUUAAUGCCUAAAAAUGUAUUCAGUGCAGACAAUCAGCAGGAAAGGCUAAGAAUCAUAGGUUGGAUAGUUGGUUUUGUAGAUGGUGAAGGUGCUUUUACAGUUAGCAUUUUCAAAAAUUCCACUGCAAAACUUGGAUUGCAAGUGUUUCCAGAGUUUAUUGUAACUCAGGGAGCAAAGAGUAAAGAUGUUCUAGAUCUCUUUCAGGAUUUUUUCUCUUGUGGGAAAGUAUAUCUUAAUAAAAGAUAUGAUAAUCACAGGGAAAACCUUUACCGUUAUUGUGUUAGAUCUAUUGGUGAUCUCAAUACAAUUAUCAUUCCAUUUUUUAAAGAGAAUGAAUUAAGAACGGCAAAGAAGCGAGAUUUUGAGUAUUUCUGCGAAGUACUUAAUCUCAUGGACAAAAGAGAGCAUCUAGUUUUAUCUGGAAUUGAAAGAAUCUCCAAAAUAGCUAUGCAAAUGAACCGAAAGGUGAAACCUAAAUUCUUAGAAUCCCCACAGACUAAACGCCGAACUUGAUAAAAAGGCUGUUUAUCAAGAAGAUAUAGUCGCAUCUGCAUGGCGACAUGCAGUAACGGAAAUUUGAGGGAAAUUCCGUUUGAAGUCCCUUCCCAUUAUGUGAUAUGGAAAGAGAUAAAGAAUGUAAGCGUAAUCCCUUGCCGGGUAAGUUCCGGCCUGCACGAAAGGUGUAACGACUUGAGCACUCUCUUAAUCACGGACUCGGUGAAAUUGAACUACCGGUCAAGAUGCCGGUUACCUGUUGCUGGACAGAUAGACCCCGUGGAGCUUUACUGUAUUCUGACAUUGGU